Molecule: ribosomal RNA, 164 nt
Filed under: uncultured Cellulomonas sp.
Lineage: Bacteria; Bacillati; Actinomycetota; Actinomycetes; Micrococcales; Cellulomonadaceae
Description: partial 16S ribosomal RNA
Rfam family: Bacterial small subunit ribosomal RNA
Source: RNAcentral
GCAUGCUACAAUGGCCGGUACAAAGGGCUGCGAUACCGCGAGGUGGAGCGAAUCCCAGAAAGCCGGUCUCAGUUCGGAUUGGGGUCUGCAACUCGACCCCAUGAAGUCGGAGUCGCUAGUAAUCGCAGAUCAGCAACGCUGCGGUGAAUACGUUCCCGGGCCUU